RNAcentral lists this ribosomal RNA (450 nucleotides) under uncultured Glomeromycotina. RNAcentral describes it as "SSU rRNA". It matches the Rfam family "Eukaryotic small subunit ribosomal RNA", at positions 569 to 1026 of the family's 1831-position model. Lineage: Eukaryota; Fungi; Glomeromycota. The record is from RNAcentral.
AGCAGCCGCGGUAAUUCCAGCUCCAAUAGCGUAUAUUAAAGUUGCUGCAGUUAAAAAGCUCGUAGUUGAAUUUCGGGAUCAAUAUGUUGGUCGUGCCUUGGUGCGUACUAGUUUAUUGAUUUCUCCCUUCUGACGAACUAUGAUGCCAUUAAUUUGGUGUCAUGGGGAAUCAGGACUGUUACUUUGAAAAAUUAGAGUGUUUAAAGCAGGCUCACGCUUGAAUACAUUAGCAUGGAAUAAUAAAAUAGGACGUUUGAUUCUAUUUUGUUGGUUUCUAGGAUCGACGUAAUGAUUAAUAGGGAUAGUUGGGGGCAUUAGUAUUCAAUUGUCAGAGGUGAAAUUCUUGGAUUUAUUGAAGACUAACUACUGCGAAAGCAUUUGCCAAGGAUGUUUUCAUUAAUCAAGAACGAAAGUUAGGGGAUCGAAGACGAUCAGAUACCGUCGUAGUCU